This 234-nucleotide unclassified non-coding RNA is filed under the name plant metagenome. RNAcentral's name for it is "partial contains small subunit ribosomal RNA, internal transcribed spacer 1, and 5.8S ribosomal RNA". The record is from RNAcentral.
UUUCCGUAGGUGAACCUGCGGAAGGAUCAUUACAGUAGUCACCCGGGUUGCCGCAAGGCCUCUCGGGUAACCUACCACCCUUUGUUUAUUACACUUUGUUGCUUUGGCAGGCCUGCCUUCGGGCUGCUGGCUCCGGUCGGCGAGCGCUUGCCAGAGGAUCUAAACUCUGUUUGUCUAUACUGUCUGAGUACUAUAUAAUAGUUAAAACUUUCAACAACGGAUCUCUUGGUUCUG